This 460-nucleotide ribosomal RNA is filed under the name uncultured bacterium. RNAcentral describes it as "bacterial SSU rRNA". It matches the Rfam family "Bacterial small subunit ribosomal RNA", at positions 84 to 539 of the family's 1533-position model. The record is from RNAcentral.
UCUGCCGGCGACCGGCGCACGGGUGAGUAACGCGUAUGCGACCUGCCCGUCACAGGGGGAUAAUCCGGAGAAAUCCGGUCUAAUACCGCAUAAUAUCGUGAAGCUGCAUGGUUUUGCGAUUAAAGGAGCGAUCCGGUGACGGAUGGGCAUGCGUGACAUUAGCUAGUCGGCGGGGUAACGGCCCACCGAGGCGACGAUGUCUAGGGGUUCUGAGAGGAAGGUCCCCCACACUGGUACUGAGACACGGACCAGACUCCUACGGGAGGCAGCAGUGAGGAAUAUUGGUCAAUGGGCUUACGCCUGAACCAGCCAAGUCGCGUGAGGGAAGACUGCCCUAUGGGUUGUAAACCUCUUUUGUCAGGGAGCAACGCCGGCUACGUGUAGCCGGACUGAGAGUACCUGAAGAAAAAGCAUCGGCUAACUCCGUGCCAGCAGCCGCGGUAAUACGGAGGAUGCGAGC